AAAGAAAAUCAAGUUGGCCCCCUUUCAGACGUUGUCAGUGAAAAUGUAGAAUGAAAAUUAAACGUGGUUGUAAUGCAUGUCGUUUGUUCUUUCUGGGGAGAAACAUAUGGAGCCCUGACAAUGACAAAAAAAGAGCUCUUAAAACCCAGUUCUCUGUUUAGUAAAGUGUAGGUGUGGAUCAGCAAUACCAUCAGUGUCCAUGUGCAGCAGUGUGGAGCUGAGUGGGUAGAUUUACACUUAUGAAAGUAAACUAAACACCAGCAGUGAUGGGAAGUUACAAAAUCUUCCUAAACCUUUUAAUCUAAAUAUUAUUGUCAAAAUCAAAUCAGAGGUUUUUUGUAUCGGACAUUUAUGUGAUGCUGAAUCCAGCGGGUAAACCAGAAACAUCCACACUUGUAUAGACCAGUUCAUUGUUAUUGUUUUGAUCCGGGUUUUUCGCACAUGCGCGCCGGACUGGUUGGCAAAAGACGAACACAAUGGCGGAUGCAUUUCUUUGUGACAGUUACUUUUGUCUUUACUUUUUCAGCUUGCAGCUUGAAUUCUUUCUUGAGCCUGAAGAAAGAAUUUAGAGACAACUUGCUAAACUGCAGGAAGGGAUUUUUCUACAUCUGUCAUAGCGUUCUAGAUAGGCAUCAGGGCAACCCACCCACCUCCCACACCUGCAAGGAGGAGCAGGUGUACUGUAUACAUGGAUAGAUGGAUGUUUUUAUAUCAACACCUACCACCUGGAGGGCUCCAUAGAAACUUCUCUCCAGAUUUCCAAACAUAAAGGCUUUUAUAUUAUUAUUUUCUUUCUUUUUCUUUUUUUUUUUCACAACUGAUAACGAUGCAUAAAAUGUCCAUUCAUAGUUCCAUUCAAAAGUGGAAAAGAACAAUCAGAAGUUUGUAAAAAAAAAAAAAAAUGCACAUAGUGAUUGCCACUUCAAAUGUUUCUUCACUCUAUAAAUAAAAAAUAUUUUAUUCUGGUGACAUUUGGUCAGCAUGUAUGUAAACAAAUACCAAAUACUUGUGUAGGAAUGUUCACAACCUCUGUGUUAAUGUUUAAAAAAUUAUCUAACUUUUUAAAAUAAAAAAUGAAAUUAUAGUUUCUGUAAGGCAUUUUGACCAGGUUGCACUUGGCUGCAACAAGAUGGGGUGGGGGGUUAAAAAGAGGGGAGAAAGAAUGAAAGAAAUUAAACUUAAUAGUGAAUACAUCUUCAUUUCAAUCAGAAUAUGAAUGUUGUUGGAAACUUGCCAAUUGGUGUCAAAACAUGUGAUGAAUAACAUGCAAAGUUGCAUUGCAUGACAAUUGAGUCUUUGCUGUUUUUUGAUUACAUAAAUUGUGAAGAGGAGAUGCUCUGCCAAGAGCCAAUUAAACCCGAUUAACUUAACUCUCUGAAAUAUAAAACUGUUACCAAAAAAAA
This is a long non-coding RNA of Fundulus heteroclitus (mummichog), 1403 nucleotides long. RefSeq lists it as uncharacterized. The transcript is spliced from 2 exons. Lineage: Eukaryota; Metazoa; Chordata; Actinopteri; Cyprinodontiformes; Fundulidae. The record is from RefSeq and is a predicted model, not a curated record.